RNAcentral lists this ribosomal RNA (253 nucleotides) under uncultured bacterium. RNAcentral describes it as "partial 16S ribosomal RNA". It matches the Rfam family "Bacterial small subunit ribosomal RNA", at positions 524 to 776 of the family's 1533-position model. The record is from RNAcentral.
UACGAAGGGGGCUAGCGUUGCUCGGAAUCACUGGGCGUAAAGCGCACGUAGGCGGAUUGUUAAGUCAGGGGUGAAAUCCUGGAGCUCAACUCCAGAACUGCCUUUGAUACUGGGGAUCUCGAGUCCGGAAGAGGUGAGUGGAACUCCGAGUGUAGAGGUGAAAUUCGUAGAUAUUCGGAAGAACACCGGUGGCGAAGGCGGCGACCUGGUCCGAUACUGACGCUGAGGCGCGAAAGCGUGGGGAGCAAACAGG